This 463-nucleotide ribosomal RNA is filed under the name uncultured Klebsiella sp. Its description in RNAcentral is "bacterial SSU rRNA". It matches the Rfam family "Bacterial small subunit ribosomal RNA", at positions 338 to 795 of the family's 1533-position model. The record is from RNAcentral. Lineage: Bacteria; Pseudomonadati; Pseudomonadota; Gammaproteobacteria; Enterobacterales; Enterobacteriaceae.
CCUACGGGAGGCAGCAGUGGGGAAUAUUGCACAAUGGGCGCAAGCCUGAUGCAGCCAUGCCGCGUGUGAAGAAGGCCUUCGGGUUGUAAAGCACUUUCAGCGGGGAGGAAGGCGUUAAGGUUAAUAACCUUGGCGAUUGACGUUACCCGCAGAAGAAGCACCGGCUAACUCCGUGCCAGCAGCCGCGGUAAUACGGAGGGUGCAAGCGUUAAUCGGAAUUACUGGGCGUAAAGCGCACGCAGGCGGUCUGUCAAGUCGGAUGUGAAAUCCCCGGGCUCAACCUGGGAACUGCAUUCGAAACUGGCAGGCUAGAGUCUUGUAGAGGGGGGUAGAAUUCCAGGUGUAGCGGUGAAAUGCGUAGAGAUCUGGAGGAAUACCGGUGGCGAAGGCGGCCCCCUGGACAAAGACUGACGCUCAGGUGCGAAAGCGUGGGGAGCAAACAGGAUUAGACACCCUAGUAGUC